Molecule: ribosomal RNA, 513 nt
Filed under: uncultured bacterium
Lineage: Bacteria
Description: bacterial SSU rRNA
Rfam family: Bacterial small subunit ribosomal RNA
Source: RNAcentral
AACGCUGGCGGCGUGCCUAAUACAUGCAAGUCGAACGGUCUUUCUAUGGAAGCUUGCUUCCACUGAGAAGAUAGUGGCGAACGGGUGAGUAACACGUGGGUAACCUGCCCAUAAGAGGGGGAUAACAUCCGGAAACGGGUGCUAAUACCGCAUAGUUUUCUUGAUCGCAUGAUCGGGAGAGGAAAGACGGCCUUUGUGCUGUCGCUUAUGGAUGGACCCGCGGCGUAUUAGUUAGUUGGUGAGGUAAUGGCUCACCAAGACGAUGAUACGUAGCCGACCUGAGAGGGUGAUCGGCCACAUUGGGACUGAGACACGGCCCAAACUCCUACGGGAGGCAGCAGUAGGGAAUCUUCCGCAAUGGACGAAAGUCUGACGGAGCAACGCCGCGUGAGUGAAAGAAGGUUUUCGGAUCGUAAAACUCUGUUGUCAGAGAAGAACAAGUUGGAGAGUAACUGCUCCAGCCUUGACGGUAUCUGACCAGAAAGCCACGGCUAACUACGUGCCAGCCGCGGC